UACGUAGGGGGCAAGCGUUGUCCGGAAUCAUUGGGCGUAAAGCGCGUGUAGGCGGCCCGGUAAGUCCGCUGUGAAAGUCGGGGGCUCAACCCUCGAAUGCCGGUGGAUACUGUCGGGCUAGAGUACGGAAGAGGCGAGUGGAAUUCCUGGUGUAGCGGUGAAAUGCGCAGAUAUCAGGAGGAACACCCAUUGCGAAGGCAGCUCGCUGGGACGUUACUGACGCUGAGACGCGAAAGCGUGGGGAGCAAACAGG
RNAcentral lists this ribosomal RNA (253 nucleotides) under uncultured bacterium. RNAcentral describes it as "partial 16S ribosomal RNA". It matches the Rfam family "Bacterial small subunit ribosomal RNA", at positions 524 to 776 of the family's 1533-position model. The record is from RNAcentral.